This 253-nucleotide ribosomal RNA is filed under the name uncultured bacterium. Its description in RNAcentral is "partial 16S ribosomal RNA". It matches the Rfam family "Bacterial small subunit ribosomal RNA", at positions 524 to 776 of the family's 1533-position model. The record is from RNAcentral.
UACGGAGGGUGCAAGCGUUAUCCGGAUUUACUGGGUUUAAAGGGUGCGUAGGUGGAUUUGUAAGUCAGGGGUGAAAUCUCCGAGCUUAACUCGGAAACUGCCUUUGAUACUAUAAGUCUUGAAUUAUCUGGAGGUAAGCGGAAUAUGGCAUGUAGCGGUGAAAUGCUUAGAUAUGCCAUAGAACACCAAUUGCGAAGGCAGCUUACUACGGAUACAUUGACACUGAGGCACGAAAGCGUGGGGAUCAAACAGG